RNAcentral lists this ribosomal RNA (270 nucleotides) under uncultured bacterium. RNAcentral's name for it is "partial 16S ribosomal RNA". It matches the Rfam family "Bacterial small subunit ribosomal RNA", at positions 51 to 339 of the family's 1533-position model. The record is from RNAcentral.
ACACAUGCAAGUCGAACGAUGAAGUGGAGCUUGCUCCACGGAUUAGUGGCGAACGGGUGAGGAACACGUAAGAAUCUACCUUUCGGUUGGGGAUAACUUCUGGAAACGGGAGCUAAUACCCAAUAUGCUGUGGAGUGAAAGAAUUCCGCCGAAAGACGAUCUUGCGUCUGAUUAGCUAGUUGGGGUGGUAAUGGCACACCAAGGCGACGAUCAGUAGCUGGUCUGAGAGGAUGGACAGCCACAUUGGGACUGAGACACGGCCCAGACUCC